UCCUCAGUGGUCCAAUGGUUAAGUGUUCACCGUAAAACCUGAAUGUCAUGGGUUCGAUUCCCCGGGGGAA
This 70-nucleotide transfer RNA is filed under the name Schistosoma japonicum. Its description in RNAcentral is "tRNA-Leu". Lineage: Eukaryota; Metazoa; Platyhelminthes; Trematoda; Strigeidida; Schistosomatidae. The record is from RNAcentral.